Molecule: ribosomal RNA, 253 nt
Filed under: uncultured bacterium
Lineage: Bacteria
Description: partial 16S ribosomal RNA
Rfam family: Bacterial small subunit ribosomal RNA
Source: RNAcentral
UACGUAGGGUGCAAGCGUUGUUCGGAAUCAUUGGGCGUAAAGCGCGUGUAGGUGGCUAGUUAGGUCGGGUGUGAAAUCCCUGGGCUCAACUCCAGAACUGCCUUUGAUACUGGAGAGCUUGAGUCCGGGAGAGGUGAGUGGAACUCCGAGUGUAGAGGUGAAAUUCGUAGAUAUUCGGAAGAACACCAGUGGCGAAGGCGGCUCACUGGCCCGGUACUGACGCUGAUGUGCGAAAGCGUGGGGAGCAAACAGG